This is a long non-coding RNA of Esox lucius (northern pike), 6759 nucleotides long. RefSeq lists it as uncharacterized. The record is from RefSeq and is a predicted model, not a curated record. Lineage: Eukaryota; Metazoa; Chordata; Actinopteri; Esociformes; Esocidae. The transcript has 2 exons.
GAGAUGGCCAAGGCUUAGGAAUAAGCCAGUGAACGAUGCGUAAUCUAGAAGACCUUGGUUUCCUGGGGGAUGUACAGGUUUGUGCUGACUGGGGUCCCACGCAGGGAUUCAGGGGGGUCAGUGUGGAGACUGUGUUUGGUGACACCAUGGUCUCUUCCUCCCAACCCACAGUGGUUAUAUAUCAGUAGGGGGGAAAGGGGAUUUCAGUGGUUUUGCGAGCCAGACAGAAGAUUCUCCAGAGGCUGAAUGGUGUGGUUUGCCAACAGGAAUUUUGGUUUGAUUUUGUUUUCCUUGUUGUUUUUUAAGUUUUUUUUUAAAAGUUAAUUAAACCUUUUGGUUAGAAUCAUUGAAUUAUAUGAAGUGCAUACAGCCAUCUCUAUUCUUCCCCCAUCCAAAUACAAAGCCACUGGGGAGUCACAGCAGAGGCCCCAAAGGCUGACAUGCGGUCUCUGAUGUCCUGGUGUACGGCAUAGUUGCUGCUUUGGUUCUGUAAGGACCCAACCAGAGAGAUUUCUGCUCUAACCAACACUGGAAUCUGCAAAACAUGUUGAAAACACUUGUUAAAAAGAUAAUGUUGCAAAAAAAGUUGAGAAAUGUCACUCUGAAUUAUUGUUAUGACUGAAAGGUUGUCCAUCAAGACCUCUGUGUGUUUUAGUUUCUAUUUAUUUUAAUCCCCAGACUUUUUAAAAGUGUGAUAAUGAGGAGAUGUUUGUUCCUAAGACCCACCAGCUCCCGAAAACAAUGAAACCCAGAGUUUAGGAAUCUGAAAAUGAGGCUGAAUCAGCUUUUUUUUCUAAGGGAGGGCAUUUGACUUCAUUCCGUCAUGAUGCUCCUCCACACAUGCUUCCCUUUUAGAAUUAAGGUUGAAGUGGAAUAUCCCUUUCACUUCUGGGAAUCAUCAUAGACUGUAGAAGUAGUGGGUGCUGGGACCAAAUGGAGUCUGUCCCAUACCCCAAAAACAAGAUCAACAUGAAACAAUCAUGCCCUGUCCUCUCAGGUGAUGUGAGAUGAGACAAGGCUCACUGCUUUUUCCUGGUCCAUUUCAGCCCAUGGUUAACAUGCAAUGGCCCAGGUCAUGGUUGACAUGCAAUGGCCCAGGUCAUGGUUGACAUGCAAUGGCCCAGGUCAUUAAUUGACUUUAGGAUUCAGAACGUUGAAAUAUUUAUUGACUGUGAGUUUCCUUGAAUGUACUGCACUUAAAUUACUGAGAUGUCUAAUGCCUUGUGGGACUCUAGUGAACAGAGAAAAGAAAAAUUGGAUCAGUGCAGCAAGUGUAGCAGUCCUCUGGUCCUAAAUUAGCAUUUCUUUUGUCAGUCAAAUUUCACUGGUAAAUUGAAUUUAUUAACUGGCGAGAGCUAGGGCUUUGUCACGGAUAACAGUAGAGAUUUAUGAAGUGCAAUUAUUAUGACCGUAUUAACAUUUUCUCUGAGCUUACACCAAAAAAUGUAAACUACAGUUGUGAAUACAUUCCCAAUGUACCACGUCCCCAAUCCCUAUCCUUUUCUGUUUUGAGGUGUAAAAUAAAUCUCAUUUAAGAAUAUAUUCAGAAGCCACAUCUUGGCUGUGAGGUCUGUCAUUAUUAUCAUUUUUUUAAUUGUCUUAGAGAAUAUGGACUCAAGUCAAAUAUCAUUGAUCAUGGAGUUGGUGGUGUUUUUGGGAGUCUUGUCGUGUUGUAGAUUGAGCAGAGGUUUGCGUGUGUGGAAUGUGUUUUAAAAGGCUUUAUACAUGAACUGUGAUCAUUAUGUAACCUCUGCCAUCAAACUAGGGUUUAUAAAUGAAUGGCUAAUCAUUUAACUUUCCCACAAUGGGUUGAAAUAGCCUAAGCUGAGUUACAUCCAUAACACUGUUCACAUACCACUGUAAAAAUAAAUCCUAUCCCAGGAUUUGAAAAUAUUCCAACUAUUCGUCCUUAAAUGUAGUGGAGCUCUGAAAAGGUGACCACUAACUGGGAAACAAAAACUGUGACUUUCAUCAUUACACACCUCAGCGCGCCCGCAAACAUCUUUUGCGUUUUCCCCUCAAGAUUUUUAAUCAGAACCUUGAGCCUUAAAUGAUUAUGCUAACAGUGUUUAUGGAAGUCGUUGGAAGGCUUAUGAAGCUCUUAGACCAAGCAGUAGACUUGCACUUGUUCAGCAAGUAAGCCCCCGUAACCAUCUUGUUUCAGCAGCUUCAUUUGCCUGCCGCAGUUCUGUUUCUGGCAUCUUUUUUUUCUUCUUUCAGUCUAAAUAGUUGGACCGCUUUACAAAAGAUUCAACAGUUUCCAAAUCCCCUUAUUUUUGGCUCCUGUAUCAAAGCAUUAAACCAGGAUGUUGAAAGAGACUUGAGGCAGUAUGUGCAGCCACUAGUGUCAGCGGUUUCCCACAGGGACAGGUUAAUAUUUCCCACAGGGACAGGUUAGCAUUUCCCACAGGGACAGGUUAGCAUUUCCCACAGGCACAGGUUAGCAUUGGGCCUUCUAUCUAAUGGCAGUAUUGGAUAAGGCUGGCUGUCAUACUGUAGAAUUUGGGUGCAAUUCUGACCGAACUGUUACGCUAUUACCUUGUUUUUUUAGAGAGUAAGGAGAUUAUCUUAAGGGACAGAAGAGUCUGUAAACUCUUAAUAAAUGUUAUACUAUCCAUUAAGCUAUUGUGUAUUCCUUCUCAUGUUUUGAUGUCUUAAAUAUUGACAGUACAUUUGAAAAGAUAUGUAAUCGUUGGACAAUUGAACAGAUAUGGUACGUUGGAAAGAAACCCGUCUGGACUGUAAUUCUCUCCUUGCCCUCCAAUGUCACUGUGGCUGACACUCAGGCUGACCACCCCGGUCCUGAGGACUUAGCAUGGGGACCAAUCGUCUUUUCGUCUGUCAGACCUGUCACCUUCGGAGGAAUGUCUCAGAGCACCCUUCCAGGCGGUUAUCUGUUCUAGCCGGGCCUGUCAUCUUCUGUCUUUCACUUCAGGGAAGCUGUUUUUGUGUGUUGAGACAGCGUGUGUAAGGACUGGAUGCCUAAGCACUGUUUUCUUCUGUCCGGAACCUGCGCAGAUCUGUUCAAGCUUAAAUCUUAAUACAGUAUAAAGCUUUGGGCUCCACAGUGGGGCGUUAUCGUAUCGACCGGUCGUUAGGUUGAUUCGUUUAAUGUCAAUUUGCAGCCCAGACAAUUUUUCAGGGGAUUGAGGAUAACAGUGUGGUUUGAGUUAAACAGUCCAAACGUUUUUGGAUGUAUAGUUCAUUUUAUCAAUGAAAAUAGGCAGUGUUACCAUUGGUCAGCAAAUUGGAUUGUUAAUACCAGAAGACUUUUCCAGUAUCAUGCUGAUGGGAUAUGAGGCCUUUUCUGUGGUCACAACCUCCCCAAAUCUCUGUCCCUGAACUCUGAAUAAAGAGCGGCUAAUUUUGCUGCAACAUAUCCUACCUGCUGUCGCCCCCAUUUUAGGAUGUCUUGGCUCCAGCUUGGGACGAUGGACGCCCAGCCCAUGCUAGCAUAAUGGAAUUACAUUUUCCAUAAGACUCGCGAGUGCCUAUACAUGGGUCCGUCCGUGCCGGGCCAUUCUCAGCCACCGUGGCCUGAUGACAAAUGGCGUAUCAUUAUCUAGGUCUUCCCUCCUCCAGUGCCACAGGGUUAACCGGUGCUCAGGCAGAGCCAGGUUCUAGAGGGAUGAGGCCAUGUGGAGGAGGAGGAGGAGGGGCUCACUGAACCACAGCCUCUGCAGCUUCAUCUCAGAAGGCCUUCCUCCUCCACACCACCUUGGGCUCCAAGCCGGCGAAGGCUCCUUUUGAAAGAUAGCCUGCCGUUGGAGGGGGAUUUGUUUCUGUUGGAUUGUGCGUGGCUGUAGCUGGGUGGCUGGCUAGCUGAAGGGCCCUGCCUGCUCUCUGUGACAGAUCAAACGGAGAGGGAGGGCAGGGAGAGGAGAGGCAGAGCGGGUCAGAGCAGGCCCUUGGAGCAUUUAGUAAUCAGGAUAAUUGGCACGUUGGGGCUGCUGCUGAUGGUUUCAGCCUUCCAGCCAGUGACUGCCCCCAUACAACUGAUGGUUUCAGCCUUCCAGCCAGUGACUGCCCCCAUACAACUGAUGGUUUCAGCCUUCCAGCCAGUGACUGCCCCCAUACUGCUGAUGGUUUCAGCCUUCCAGCCAGUGACUGCCCCCAUACAAAUGAUGGUUUCAGCCUUCCAGCCAGUGACUGCCCCCAUACUGCUGAUGGUUUCAGCCUUCUAGCCAGUGACUGCCCCCAUACUGCUGAUGGUUUCAGGCUUCCAGACAGUGACUGACACCAUACUCACAUGGGCCCCCAACGUACAGUGUGUCUCUCGGGAUGUCAUGACAACUGGUUAUUCACAUCCAAUACCUUUUGCCAUCUAUCAAGGACUCUGGUCAGGAUUCUAGCAAACUGCACCAUACCGCUAUCUAACUAUCUUAUUUUCACUGGUAAAAGCUGGAGAUGGCUCAACUGUUAAGCUGGGAUUCGUGCAAAUAUGCCAUAGAAUUUCUUCUAGAUGUGAUAGAAUUGAGUGGGUUGCCCUGUUAUUAGUUAUAGAUUUUUUUACAGAACCCAAGACCAGUAUCUGAGUUAAUUUGACCCUAAGAAAAAGCUACUGCGAGAGUAAAUUAAUGUGGGCUGGAUUGAAUCGAGUCGUAGAUUACAUUCGUCAAGUGCAGUGUGAUGUUGACACAGUGCAGAGUGAUUGGAACAGUGCAGUGGGAUAAUGGCACAGUGAAGUGCGAUUGACUUGCAGCAGUGAUGUUGGAACAGUGCUGUUUGAUAUGCAUGGUGCAUUGUGAUAGGCACAUACAGUGUAAUGUUGGCACAGUGCAGUAUUUCUGGGCCUGCGCAGUGUGAUUGGCAUGGUGCAGUGUGGUGUUCGUGUGAUUGUCACCGUGCAGUAUGAUGUUGGCACAGUGCAGUGUGAUUGACACGAUGCAGUGUGAUUGGCACAGUGCAGGGUAAUUGGCACAGUGCAGGGUAAUUGGCAUGGUGUAGGGUAAUUGGCACAGUGCACUAUGAAAGGCACAGUGCAGUGUGAUGUUAGUUCAGCACAGUAUGAAUACCAGGCUAGGUCUUUAUCUCAUUGAAGGACAGUCUAGAGUGAGCUAUACCAAUUCAUUCAAGUUUUAUCACUUGCCAUUUGUUCCUGGAAGGGCAGAGGUCAGUAGAUGUAUAACAGCCUCCUGCUCUUACACUCCAGAUAGAAUGACCCCCACAUCUUUUGUGCUAUCAUCCUGAGGCCAUUUGCUAUAGACAAAAGUUCAUCUCACAGAAUGUCUGUUGAUGGAUUCCUCCAGCGCUCCAUAUCUGAGGCAUCUCAAGGGCACCUUGUUUCGAAGGAGGAGGCCAGCGGGAGAGAGGGUGUAGAGGGCUGGACUCUUGUUGACUGGCUGUCAAGAUCUCUCAGUAAAUCCCCCAGCCCCACCCCUGGCUUUAAGUCCAUGGUGCCCUAUGUGCUGAUGUGUACUGCGUGCCUUUGAUCGUCCUGCCCUGAUGAACUGGGGUAUGGAGCAGACCAGUGAAACGCUCAACCCUCCCAUCCUGAAGAAAGUAUGUUUGCUGUAGAGACAUGGCUGUCUCUGUCUGCUGCCCUCUGGACACGGAGAUGACACGCCCCGUCUUCCUGCACACUGCUGUGGUCCCUAAUUCCACAGACCUGUGAUAUCUCCAUUUCAACACAGUCCGCUCCAUUUGGCUCUGUUGUCUCUUUUAAGUAACGCGUGGUUUCUGCUGAUCAUUAUGAUUUGCCUGAAGAAGCUUGUAGGGGAUUACACACGUUUAGGUUCCACUGCUGAUUUCCUCCCUGAUAGGCCAGGGUUCUACAGUCAACAGAUUGACGUCUGUUUGAAUGCACAGGGCUUUUAACUUUAGCGUGAUCUUUUUUUCGAAAUCAUAACGAAAUCUUAACAUCUUCAAGUAAUACGCAUGCACCGCAGAUCAGUGAUCAAGCAGUGCAGCUGGGCACAAUGUCAGGUGCCUAAGGAGUACUUCCACAAUGUUACAACUUUAUGACAGAAAUGCUAGUAGGGCCCUCCAAUCUAUCAUCUCUUUCAUAGGGUGGCAAUAAUGCUUGAUCCCAUCUAAAACAUGAGAAGUCUGGGGAUCUUUUGUUUGUUCUAAAUUGAUCAGUUUAUUGUUUGUGUGGCACUCCGAAUGUCCCUGUAGACAAACAGGACAAAUUCUAAAAUGAUCUGCAAAGCGCCAAUGCUGCCAAAAUCUUUGGGUGCCACAACCUUGAGAAAAUAAUAUAUAUGGAAAUGGGAAAUCUAUAAAGCAUCUCUCCUAUUGUCCUCCCUGCAGUGUUGUAUUUAUGUUUGGAAAUGAUUUUGUCUCCUCAGGAUGAAAAAUGUGUAAGGAAUAUCUUAGUUUCUUUUUUUUUUUUUUUGGUAGAAAUAAUAAUAUAUAUGAAUCUUGGAUUUCAAAAAAAAUAUGAAAAGCUGCAAAAUCCUUUAGCCUUGGGAUUUUCAACUUUUGAAUGUGCCUACAGCAAAGCAUCCCUGUGAUUGCUUACCCCCCUCUACAACCUCCCCUAAUCAAUCCACCCCCCCUCUACAACCACAUCCGAUCUGCUGAGACUGUCGCUGUACGUCCCCCCUCCGAACCCCCAUCCGAACCCCCGAACCCCCACUCAAUCCCUCCUCCUGCCCAGGUACCAUAAUAGUGAAUCAUCUAAUAUAACUGUUCCCUGCUUUUUUGUCUAUCUCAGGACUGAAAUUUCUUUAUUUUGAUGUAGAUGGUUAAUUUAUUCUCUCCUAUGUUCUGUAAUAUUGUUUGACAUGAAGUAAAUAAAGCGGAUGAUGACUUCUA